UAAGACGAACCACACAAACGUUAUUCGGAAUUACUGGGCUUAAAGGGUGCGUAGGCUGUGCGGAAAGUUGGGCGUGAAAUACCUCAGCUUAACUGAGGAACUGCGUUCAAAACUACCGUGCUUGAGGGAGACAGAGGUAAGCGGAACUUAGGGUGGAGCGGUGAAAUGCGUUGAUAUCCUAAGGAACACCGGUGGCGAAAGCGGCUUACUGGGUCUUUUCUGACGCUGAUGCACGAAAGCUAGGGUAGCGAACGGGAUUAGAUACCCCGGUAGUCCUAGCUGUAAACGAUGAGCACUUGGUUGAAGGGCCCUCCAUAGCCUUUCAGCCGCAGCGAAAGUGUUAAGUGCUCCGCCUGGGGAGUAUGGUCGCAAGGCUG
RNAcentral lists this ribosomal RNA (377 nucleotides) under uncultured bacterium. RNAcentral describes it as "bacterial SSU rRNA". It matches the Rfam family "Bacterial small subunit ribosomal RNA", at positions 521 to 896 of the family's 1533-position model. The record is from RNAcentral.